Molecule: long non-coding RNA, 4208 nt
Organism: Panicum virgatum (switchgrass)
Lineage: Eukaryota; Viridiplantae; Streptophyta; Magnoliopsida; Poales; Poaceae
Exons: 4
Source: RefSeq, a predicted model, not a curated record
CCCCCGCGGACUCGGCCACCACGUCGUGGGUUCGAUUCGCAGGUCUGGCGAUUUCUUUUAUUUUUCUUCGACCCGCGGUGGCCCGAGCUCCCUCUCCCUACGGCGGUGCUCCCCCCGCGGCCGCCCCUCCCGUAACCUCCUUCCGGCGACGUCCUCCUCUCCGAGGAGCCCAACCCUCCUGGCACCGCGCGACCUCCUCCCCACGCUCCUCCCCUCCCUGCCGCCGCCCUCUAUCGCCAGAUCCGGCGCGUCGGUGGCCGCGGGCGGGGUCGGGCGUUCGGCAACGGCAGGCGCGGGUGGCGUUGGACUGCGGCGCGCCACGGCAGGCGAGCAGGCCAAGGCGGUGGGUAGGCCAAGGUGGGUGCAGGCGGUGUCGGCAGGCGAGCAGGCUAAGGUGGGCGACGGCGGUGCCGAGCGAGUGUGCGGGCGAGCAGUCCAAGGUGCGAGCGGGCGACGGAGGCAUGGUUCUGCACUCUCUCUCUCUCUUCCAGAUCAAGAGCAGCACAUUGGAGCGGACAAAUGCAGCAGCACCUCAUCAUCCUGAUGGCGGGCGCGACGCGGAGGUCAGGCUCGGGGCCGGCGGCUACGGCUUCUCCAUGACUAAUUCCACUCUUUGCCCGAAAGGUCAGACGAAAUCAUCGAGAAUCUCCCACUUCUCUCUCAGUCGAUUAUUGCAAGCACCACUAAAUAGAGCAGCGGCAGCCGCACCCUUUCCUGCCUUAGAUGCAAAUCGAAGCAGCAACCAGCAACAACACGUUUCCUUCCUCUGCUUCUACUCCAAGGCACGGCUCCAAAUCAGAACAGAACCUGGCGUUGCAUCCUGACCUCCUCUGUUUCUUCCUCCAAAUCCAAGCUGUAGAGCAAUGGGCAAGCACUAGAUAACAUGAUUAGGAUUAGGAAAAUACAGAUUUGUAUGUGGUAAAGCUAGGACACUGCAGCUAAUAUUGCCUUCUCUUUUCAUUGUUAACGCACAAUAGAAAAACAAUUGGGAAAUAUACCCAAUUAGAUAUGGGUGAUAUGUGAUCUCAAAAGCCAGCCUGAUGUCUGCUCCAGAGGUACGAAUUUUUAAUUUUGCCAUGUCGUGUGAAUUUUUUCUAGCAGUAAAGAAUAUUUACCCUAAGCCCUAUUAACUCUACUAGCGCAGUGACAGAAGGUUUAUGUUAGAAUUGGUUUAUGGGAUAUAUAUCUCAUUAGGACACUGUUUCAUUUGUGAACUGAUGAGAAGUACGGUAGUGGUCUUAUUUGUUCUUUUUCAUUUUUCAUGCAAAUUGAUUUUUUCGCACAAGGAAUAAGUUAGAUUGUGUUGGUAAUCAUGCGAGGACAACAAUUUAGGGAAACAGCUCUGUCCUGUUCGAAAUCAAUGCAGGAUGGAGUGGUGCUGAUAUGUGUGCUCCCUUUUUGCAUUUUUGUUUAUGAUUAAUUUUAAUUUAUUUUAUUUUGUGAACACAUGGUCUGUGGUAUUUUAUCAUUUCUUGAUUGUACUACUGAUUUGUUAAUUUGCUUGCCUUGGUUUGUACCAGAUUUUUUGUUUUAUUCCAAUCUAUCUAAAACACUUAAUAGGACUUUCAGGGGUGUACUUCAUAGGUACUAAUAACUCACCUCCCUAGACCAUAAUCUAUGUUAAGUCAAUUAUGUUUGUGGCAUAUAUUUUUAGGCCAAUAAUUUGGUGCUUCUGAAAUGGAAUGUUAAUACAUGAAACUUUUUCUCUGUUGAAACCUUUUGUCAUUAAGGGUAAGCAAAAUGGAGUGCAUCUCGUGCCAGCCCUUGUCAAAAGGAUGCUGGAUAAAGGCAUGUUUUUGUUUGGCUACAUGAAUUUGCUAGGUGUGAUGGCAGUGAGAAGCAGGUCAAGGGCUUGACUGCAUUGCAGAAUAAACGAGACAAAUUUGCCUGUGACAAGUAUGUGAUUUUUGCCAAUGUGAAGUCAAGCAUUAGCAUUUGUAUUUUCAGUAUAUUGCACCGAAGAGUACUUAGAUUAUUGACACAACAACAUGAGUUUUUAGUAUGGUUUUUUAUCCUUGUGUUGGUGUUUCAAGUAAUUUGCACCUAUGGAUACAUAAAUAAGAUUGGUGACAUAUUUUUCACCUCAUUGAUGCACACUCAGUGAGACACUGCAUUUACACUACUUCAUGAUUUGCAGUUUACACACUCCCUGUGAGGUUAUGAUCCUUCCAGUUUUAUGUUUGAACAUAAUCUCAUUAAGAUGGACCUUUGCUUCCUCUUAAUUUCCUUAAGGCCUGAUUCGAGAAUUGUUCUUUUUGUGAUGAGAAAAUUUAUGCAAAUGCACUUCUAUUAUUAGACACAUUUCAUCUACCUCCAGGGUGCGGAGUUGUAGCUUGAUAGCAUCAAGAAAUUGUCAAAGGAGUAUGCUGAAGCCAAAGAAUUGGCCCCUGCAGAGGCAGGCCAAACCGUUGAUCUUGAAGAUGCUAAGCACUUCCUUCAGAGUGAUACACUUUUUGGCGACAAGAUAGUUGAGAUCGUCAAAGAAUGGGAUGCAAUUGUGCAAUUGAGAUCCACACUGCAUCAUGGAUAUGCCAACAUGUUUUUUAAUCCGCUGGUAUGAUUUGUGAAGACCAGUUAGUUAAUCUAACUUGGCCUAGUACUUUACCUCCUGGCUGGUCUAUGGAGUGGGAACCGUCCCCGACCAGUAAUGACUCAACCGAAUGAUGUCAUGUUUGGGCUUAACAUGGCAUUUACCCUACGACGUUUAUGUACAGUCAUAUUUUACUUUUUGCUGCAAAAUUCUUAAACUAAACUUAGUUUAUGGUUGGAACCUUCCUGUAUCCUUUGAAUAAAUCUGUAAAAGCUAGAACUUCAGUCUACUAGCUUCAAAACUCUGAUGUAAUUUACACUACUUAUCUAUGUGAUGUAAAAUAUUGUGGAAUGUUGUAUCUCUGACUCGCCUUCGUGCAGGACGUAUACUUGUGUUAUGAUCGGAUAUUCAGUGGUUGCAUCGGGAUGUUACCAGACAGACCAAGGAUUAUACCAGUUGAAGUGCCCUUAGUUUGAAUCAACCUCGGAAGAUGUUUAGCGCACUUGAGCUGGUGUAAUUCAAAGUGGUUCUGCCACAGUUGUGCGCCUGGAAGUAGUGCCGCAGCUUCCUUGACGUGAUGAGUAUCGCGUAGACGAGUUUUUGCACCUGGGGAUAGCGCAGCUUGGACUCACCGAGUACUUCACUAGUGAAGUAGACGGGUCGUUGUACCUUGUAGACGUGGCCUGGCUCGUCUCGUUCGAUGACCAGAGCGGUGCUAACCACAUGGGUGGUUGCUGCGAUGUAGAGGAGUAGAGUCUCCCCAUCUUCUGGAGGUGUGAGGAUGGGUGGAGUUGUGAGGAAGUCUUUGAGCUGCUGAAGGCUACGGCAGCUUCCUCGUUCCACUCGAACUUGUUGGACUUCCUAAGAAGUUUGAAGAACGGUAGGCCUUUGUCGCCGAGCCGGCUGAUGAACUGGCUCAAGGCUGCCAUGCACCCUGUAAGCUUCAUCAGAUCCUUCUUGCACCUAGGUGACUUCAUGAACCUGAUAGCGUUGAUCUUGGUCGGGUUGGCUUCAAUGCCCCGGCUGCUUACAAUGAAGCCGAGUAGCUUCCUGGACGGGAAGCCAAACACGCACUUGGUGGGGUUUAGCUUCCAUUUGAAUCUCCUGAGAUUUUCAAAUGUUUCUACGAGGUCGGCAAUGAACUGAUCAUUGGACCUUGUCUUGAUGACGAUGUCAUCUUUGUAGGCCUCGGCGUUGUGCCUAAUCUGCCCCUGAAGACAUUUCUGGAUGGCCUUCUGGUAUGUAGCACCCGCGUUCUUGAGGCCGAACGUCAUGGUGUUAUAGCAGUACACCCCGAAGGGCGUGAUGAAGGAGGUCUUCUCUUGAUCCGACUUCUUCAGGGUGAUCUGGUGGUAACCUGAGUAGCAGUCAAGAAAAGAGAGGAGCGUGUAGCCGACUGUUGAGUCAACAACCUGGUCGAUGCGUGGAAGAGGGCAAGGAUCUUUAGGGCAGUGUUUGUUGAGAUCAGUAUAGUCGACACAUAUUCUCCAUUCACCAUUUUUCUUUUUUACAAGGACUGGAUUUGCCAGCCAUUCGGGAUGUGUGACUUCUCGGAUAAAACUAGCAGCUAGGAGCCAGAUCAUUUCUACCCUAAUAGCCUCCUUCCGAUCUUGAGCGAAGCGACGCAGCCGUUGUUUGACGGGCCGUGCCUUCUCAUUGAGAUCCAAGCAGUGCUCAG